This 45-nucleotide non-coding RNA is filed under the name Schistosoma mattheei. The record is from RNAcentral. Lineage: Eukaryota; Metazoa; Platyhelminthes; Trematoda; Strigeidida; Schistosomatidae.
AUCCAACUGACGAGCCCUAAAUGGGACGAAAAGCGCGUCCUGGAU